UGGGGAAUAUUGCACAAUGGGCGAAAGCCUGAUGCAGCAACGCCGCGUGAGCGAUGAAGGCCUUCGGGUCGUAAAGCUCUGUCCUAAGGGAAGAAUUUUGACGGUACCUUGGGAGGAAGCCCCGGCUAACUACGUGCCAGCAGCCGCGGUAAUACGUAGGGGGCAAGCGUUAUCCGGAAUCACUGGGCGUAAAGGGUGCGUAGGCGGCCUUUCAAGUCAGAGGUGAAAGGCUACGGCUCAACCGUAGUAAGCCUUUGAAACUGUAGGGCUUGAGUGCAGGAGAGGAAAGUGGAAUUCCUAGUGUAGCGGUGAAAUGCGUAGAUAUUAGGAGGAACACCAGUGGCGAAGGCGACUUUCUGGACUGUAACUGACGCUGAGGCACGAAAGUGUGGGGAGCAAACA
This 402-nucleotide ribosomal RNA is filed under the name uncultured Alkaliphilus sp. RNAcentral's name for it is "bacterial SSU rRNA". It matches the Rfam family "Bacterial small subunit ribosomal RNA", at positions 355 to 774 of the family's 1533-position model. Lineage: Bacteria; Bacillati; Bacillota; Clostridia; Peptostreptococcales; Natronincolaceae. The record is from RNAcentral.